AGAACACGAGUAGACGAUAAAGAACACGAGUAGAGGAUAAAAGAACACGAGUAGAGACGAUAAAAGAACACGAGUAGAGGAUAAAAGAACACGAGUAGAGACGAUAAAAGAACACGAGUAGAGGAUAAAGAACACGAGUAGAGACGAUAAAAGAACACGAGUAGAGACGAUAAAAGAACACGAGUAGAGACGAUAAAAGAACACGAGUAGACGAUAAAAGAACACGAGUAGAGGAUAAAAGAACACGAGUAGAGACGAUAAAGAACACGAGUAGAGGAUAAAAGAACACGAGUAGAGGAUAAAAGAACACGAGUGAGGAUAAAAGAACACGAGUAGAGGAUAAAAGAACACGAGUAGAGGAUAAAAGAACACGAGUAGAGGAUAAAAGAACACGAGCAGAGGAUAAAAGAACACGAUUAGAGGAUAAAAGAACACGAGUAGAGGAUAAAAGAACACGAGUAGAGGAUAAAAGAACACGAGUAGAGCGAUAAAAGAACACGAGUAGAGACGAUAAAAGAACACGAGUAGAGGAUAAAAGAACACGAGUAGAGGAUAAAAGAACACGAGUAGAGGAUAAAAGAACACGAGUAGAGGAUAAAAGAACACGAGCUAGACGAUAAAAGAACACGAG
Ictalurus punctatus (channel catfish) is the source of this 631-nucleotide long non-coding RNA. Lineage: Eukaryota; Metazoa; Chordata; Actinopteri; Siluriformes; Ictaluridae. The record is from Ensembl.